This 845-nucleotide long non-coding RNA is filed under the name Phascolarctos cinereus (koala). Its description in RNAcentral is "lncRNA (ENSPCIG00000028129.2)". The record is from RNAcentral. Lineage: Eukaryota; Metazoa; Chordata; Mammalia; Diprotodontia; Phascolarctidae.
GGCGCAGACAUUGAAACUAGCUCACACGCAGGAAGGCCAGGGAAUGAAUGAAUUUAUUUCCAAAUAGGAAACACGUACACACACAUAUACACACAUACACACACACCCCCAGACGGGAUGGCUAGACGAGGCAGGGGAGUCGCCACGGGGAGUACUGCGCCGAGAAGCUCUGGUGGCCUCCCUUUCAGGGAGGUCGAGGCUGGCCAGCUGCUGGGCUCCGGGGGCCUCCGCUAUGUAGACAAGAAGGGUCCUCAGGUGCGGGGGGCGCUGAAUCUCAGAAGGCUCCGGGACGGCUUGGGGGCGGCCGCCCCCCCCUUCUUCCCUAUCCCCCAUUGUGUGGGGCCUGCACAUCUGGGGUGGGGUGGGGGAGGAAAGGGCACAUCUGGAAGGGAGAGCUUCCAUCUGGGAGGGGGCUGUCGGGGGGUGUCCGGUGGUGUGAUGGAGGGAGGCGUCCCACCGGCCUGGCGAGGAUCCUUCGUCAGGGGCCCGGCGGGGGCGGCGGGGGCAGCGGUCCAGGCGCACGUCCGGCGGUUCCGAGGUCCAGGACUCCAGCGGUGGCAGAGGCAGGUGGAGCUGGGGUUCGGUUCGGCCAGGCCCGGGCGCGCGCGGCCGCCUCGUCUAUCUACCCGGGGCUCGUGGUGCGGCCGCGGCGGCUCCAGCGGCGGCGGCGCCGCGCAUCCCUGCGGGGAGCCCGGACCGCUGCUCCGCACGCGCCCGCGCCCAAACCUGAUGCCGAACCCGAUGCCGAGCCGAUCCCGAGCCCGCGGCCCCGCAGCCUCCGGAGCCCGCCCCCGAGCCCCGCCCCCAGCCUGAGCCCCGCGUUCUGAGCCCGCCCCUUCGCUGAC